Molecule: non-coding RNA, 321 nt
Organism: Mesocricetus auratus (golden hamster)
Lineage: Eukaryota; Metazoa; Chordata; Mammalia; Rodentia; Cricetidae
Source: Rfam
UGCUUCUGGCUGUGAUACGUGCCAUUCCACGGGUCAGCAGAGUCACCUGGCUGGUGAGGAUGGAUAAGCUCCUGUCCCUUCCCUCUCUCAUCGCUCCAUGUGUAUCCCUCUUGAGGCUGUCUAAUUGGUCAAAGAGGACAUUUCCUUGACAGAGAAGGACCACGCUUCAGUCAGGUGCAUGCAAGGAGCCGCGUACCCCUGCUAGAACCACCAAAGCAGAUCUUAUCACACCGGUUCUCGGAGUCCCCUGGUGGGUUGUGUCUUAUUUCUGCUUUUCUAGACCGUAAUGUAAGCUUCAUGAGGUCCCCGAUCUUGUUCUUA